GACGAACCGAGCGAACGUUGUUCGGAAUCACUGGGCUUAAAGGGCGCGUAGGCGGACCGCCAAGUCCGAGGUGAAAUCCUCCAGCUCAACUGGAGAACUGCCUCGGAUACUGGAGGUCUCGAGGGAGGUAGGGGCAAGCGGAACUGUGGGUGGAGCGGUGAAAUGCGUUGAUAUCCACAGGAACUCCGGUGGCGAAGGCGGCUUGCUGGACCUUUUCUGACGCUGAGGCGCAAAAGCCAGGGGAGCAAACGGG
RNAcentral lists this ribosomal RNA (253 nucleotides) under uncultured bacterium. RNAcentral describes it as "partial 16S ribosomal RNA". It matches the Rfam family "Bacterial small subunit ribosomal RNA", at positions 524 to 776 of the family's 1533-position model. The record is from RNAcentral.